Molecule: long non-coding RNA, 1648 nt
Organism: Argentina anserina (silverweed cinquefoil)
Lineage: Eukaryota; Viridiplantae; Streptophyta; Magnoliopsida; Rosales; Rosaceae
Exons: 4
Source: RefSeq, a predicted model, not a curated record
ACAAGGAAGCUUUAGGAAGCAGGGAUCUAUACCUGCAAUAACUUGAUGAUGCCCAGUUGCACACCGAGAUGGUAAGAACGAAUUUCGUUAGUUUCGAUUUUGUAAACUGAGCAAUUUGAAGUCUGAUGUCGUUUCUGUGAUUUCAGUUUGGCAGAACUUGACGGUAAUCGAAAUCUUAUCUCCUGUUUGGAACAUUUGUUUUAAUUUGGUGCUCAAGAUGUGUUGUUUCGUAUAGGAUCACUGGAUAUAUUACUAGGAGAGUAGGAGUGAUGCCCUAACCAAAGUAAAUGUAAAUCAGUUUAGCUUAGUUGAUUCGAAGUCAUAUUGGAGCUGUCUGAUCAUAUUUUAAAACGGUGAUGCUUAGUGUGAAAUUGAGAAGUCGAACUUUGAUUUUAUGUGUAGCGAAAGUCUGUGAUUUGCAUUGCAAGUGCACAACUGAAAGUUUGUGCUUCGCCUCUGAUGAACCAAAUGUUGGAAAUCUUGCUUCCUUAGUCUCUGAUAUAGAGUAUGCUUUAAUCAUCUAAUUGUGUGCUAUCUAACUUCAAAGGUGGGAUCGGAAUAUUGCAAUUACAGAAACCUUUGCUGAAUUUAGGUGAGCUGCGUGAGCACAUAACACACUUUGUUUGAUGCAUUCUUGUGGUGAAUUUCUUCAUUUGAACAUGAAAAUUCUCCUAUUUGAUUGCCUAUACUUCCCUGCAAUGCUGAUACUCAGUUACUCACUCAAAUCUUAUGCGCUACUCUUUAUCCAUAACUUACCGUUCAUGACAUGAGAAAAUUAUUAUCAGCAGCUAGCAAAAGCCUGCACAUAUAUGCCGUCGUAUUCAAUAAAAACAUUGCAAUGUUGCUGUGAAUGCUGUCUACAUGACCAACCAAGAAAUAUAUCCUGGUAGUGGAGUGUUCAUUUAAGAUCCAAAAAAUCCAGCAAGACUAAUGUGCUAGCCUAUGCAGCAACAGCAAGACUCAUGUUUAGGAAAGACAAACAACGGAUCUGCAGGAUGUUUGAUGCUCCAGACCAGCUACCCGAUGCUGAAACAAUAUCCUUUACACAGUCACCUAAGUGUUUACUGGGGUUUUUUAUGAAAGCCUGCAUCAAUAACCUGGUAUAAAGUUUUAUUCUCAUAACCGAGACACUAUAAAAUUGCCCUGGCCGUGAAGCCGAUCGAUAUGUAGUUACUCUUGAUAGUUGGCAGUAAGGCACAUUUUCCAGAUAAGUGCAGGAGACAUUGCUAACGCAAAGGACUGGAAGGGCAAGGCCUUUCUGACACUAGAAUCACCAAAAUACGGGGCAGAAAACCCAUCGCCAUCUUGGCUGUGCUGCCGGAGGCUCAUUUAGUCUGGUAAACAUAAACAGACAGCCAUAGCAAUGUGGGAGCUUGAUCGAGCGACUUCAAACCUUGUUAUAUCAUGUUGAAAUGCUUUUGCUAUCCGAAGUUGGUUUGAAUGGGACCCCAUGUCAUUGUUUUGACAGUGAGCAACAGGUCUCCGCAGUCUCAUCUCCUAUGCCUCAGAAGGCUGCUAUUCCCUUGGCACAAUUGCUGAACUAUACCGUAACGAGGUUUUCUGAUGGUCAUACCAUGUUAGUCUUUUCUUAUUUUCUUUUUCUGAGGGGAAGAUAUACCAGACAAUACUGAUUUAUAGAAAAAGGAAA